RNAcentral lists this ribosomal RNA (530 nucleotides) under Anterastes ucari. Its description in RNAcentral is "partial 16S ribosomal RNA". It matches the Rfam family "Bacterial large subunit ribosomal RNA", at positions 1807 to 2609 of the family's 2925-position model. The record is from RNAcentral. Lineage: Eukaryota; Metazoa; Arthropoda; Insecta; Orthoptera; Tettigoniidae.
ACAAAAACAUGGCCUUUUGAGUGGAAUUUAAGGUCGGGCCUGCCCACUGACGUAGUUGAAGGGCCGCGGUAUUUUGACCGUGCAAAGGUAGCAUAAUCAUUAGUCUUUUAAUUGAGGGCUGGAAUGAAUGGUUUGACGAAAUAUUAACUGUCUCUAUAUAAUAAAUGGAAUUUAACUUUUGAGUCAAAAGGCUUAAAUGAAUAUAAAAGACGAGAAGACCCUAUAGAUCUUUAUAUAGUUAAGUAAUUGUUUUAUUUAGUUGUUUUGUAUUCAAUUAUUUUUGCUGUAUUUUGUUGGGGUGACAUAAAGAUAAAAAUAACUCUUUAUAAUGGGCACAUUGAUUUAUGAGUGAUUGAUCCGUUAUUAACGAUUAUAAGACAAAGUUACCUUAGGGAUAACAGCGUAAUUUUUUUUGAGAGUUCUUAUCGACAAGAAAGAUUGCGACCUCGAUGUUGGAUUAAGGAAUAUGAUUAGGUGUAGCAGUUUAAUUAAUAAGUCUGUUCGACUUUUAAAUCCUUACGUCAUCUGAG